UUAAGUUAAUAAGGGCGUACAGUGAAUGCCUUGGCACUAGAAGACGAAGAAGGACGCGACUACCUGCGAUAAGCGGCGGCGAGCUGGACGUAAGCUAUGAACCGUCGAUGUCCGAAUGGGGAAACCCGGUGUGGGUAAUGCCACAUCAUCCAUCACCCAAAACCAUUAAGUGAUGAGAAGAGAUACCUAGGGAAGUGAAACAUCUCAGUACCUAGAGGAAAAGAAAGAUUAAUAUCGAUUCCGGGAGUAGCGGCGAGCGAAAGCGGAACAGCCUAAACCAACCUUAGGGUUGGGGUUCGGAGCGCAACAUGUGAUUGUUACAUGAUAGGUGAAUGAUUUGGGAAAGUCAGCCAUAGACGGUGAGAGCCCGGUAACUAUACUUGUGUAACACGCUAGCGAUUUCCAGAGUACGGCGGGGCACGUGAAACCCUGUUGGAAUAUGUGAGGACCACCUCAUAAGGCUAAAUACUAACUAGUGACCGAUAGUGAACCAGUACCGUGAGGGAAAGGUGAAAAGAACCCCGGGAGGGGAGUGAAAAGAAUCUGAAACUGUAUGCUUACAAAAAGUCAGAGGCCGUUAAAGGCUGAUGGCGUGCCUAUUGAAGAAUGAACCGGCGAGUUACUUUUGUCGUGCAAGGUUAAGUCGAAGAGACGGAGCCGUAGUGAAAGCGAGCCUGAAUAGGGCGAUUAAGUACGAUGAAGUAGACCCGAAGCCCGACGAUCUAUCCAUGAGCAGGUUGAAGGUAAGGUAACACUUACUGGAGGACCGAACCGACGUUCGUUGCAACGCCCGCGGAUGAGCUGUGGAUAGUGGAGAAAUUCCAAUCGAGUCGGGGGAUAGCUGGUUCUCCUCGAAAUAGCUUUAGGGCUAGCGUCCGGCGUACCCUUUGGGGGUAGAGCACUGAAUGCCUGAUGGCCGCGCACAGCGGUACUGAAUGCAAUCAAACUCCGAAUCCCAGGGGGGUCGAGCCGGGCAGUCAGACUGCGGGGGAUAAGCUCCGUGGUCGAAAGGGAAACAGCCCAGACCGCCGAAUGAGGUCCCCAAAUCCACGCUAAGUGUGAAAGGACGUGGGGGCGCUUAGACAACUAGGAUGUUGGCUCAGAAGCAGCCACCAUUCAAAGAGUGCGUAACAGCUCACUAGUCGAGUGCCCCCGCACCGAAGAUUUACCGGGGCUGAAGCGUGGUGCCGAAUUCGCGGAUUUUGGAUUCGCGUCCAAAGUGGUAGAGGAGCGUUCCGCCAGGGGCGAAGCCGCACCGAGAGGAGCGGUGGACCGGGCGGAAGUGAGUAUGCCGGUGUCAGUAACGAUGAGGGGUGGGAAUCCCCUCCACCAUUUGACUGAGGUUUCCCGGGCGAGGGUCGUCCCCCCGGGGUCAGUCGGGACCUAAGGCGAGGCCGAAGGGCGUAGCCGAUGGACGCCAGGUCGACAUUCCUGGACUGGUGCGCGUGCGAUGUGGUGACGGAUCCGGACAGGGGCUCCCCCUUAUUGGAUUGGGGGCCAAGCGGCUCGGCCGCGCGGCAGGCAAAUCCGCCGCGCAGAGGCGAGGCCGCGAGCGCGAGCGAAACCUUCGGGGAGUAGCGAAGGCUCCGACGCCGGGUCCCGAGAAAAACCGCUAGCGUUAAGCGCGCAUCACCCGUACCGAGAACGGACACACGUGGUCAAGGAGAGUAUCCUGAGGUGAGCGAGUUAACUGUUGUUAAGGAACUCUGCAAAAUUACUUCGUAAGUUCGCAAGAAGAAGUGCCUGUGAAAGCAGGUCGCAGUGAAGAGGCCCAAGUAACUGUUUAUCAAAAACACAGCUCUAUGCUAAGCCGCAAGGCGACGUAUAUGGGGUGAUGCCUGCCCAGUGCUGGAAGAUUAAGGGGAGGAGUCAGGCGCAAGCCGAAGCCCCGAGCCGAAGUCCCAGUGAACGGCGGCCGUAACUAUAACGGUCCUAAGGUAGCGAAAUUCCUUGUCAGGCAAGUUCUGACGCGCAUGAAUGGUAUAAUAAUUUGGGCGCUGUCUCGACAGCAGACUCGGUGAAAUCUUAUUACCUGUGAAGAUGCAGGUUACCCGCGACUAGACGGAAAGACCCCAUGGAGCUUUACUACAGCUUACCAUUGGGCAGGCGAUGCGCAUGCGCAGAAUAGGUGGGACGCUUUGAUCCCGGGGCCUUGGCCUCGGGGGAGCGGGCGGUGAGAUACCACUCUUGCGCGUUGCCUGUCCUAACGCGCGCCUUCACCGGGCGGCGGACAGUGGUUGGCGGGUAGUUUGACUGGGGCGGUCGCCUCCCAAAAGGUAACGGAGGCGCUCCAAGGUAUCCUCAGCACGGUUGGAAAUCGUGCCUCGAGUGCAAUGGCAUAAGGGUGCUUAACUGCGAGACCAACAAGUCGAGCAGAGACGAAAG
This 2385-nucleotide ribosomal RNA is filed under the name wastewater metagenome. RNAcentral's name for it is "bacterial LSU rRNA". It matches the Rfam family "Bacterial large subunit ribosomal RNA", at positions 3 to 2405 of the family's 2925-position model. The record is from RNAcentral.